GUCUGCUCUUGCAAAGAUGCCACAUCUGGACCAGCUGCUGUAAUUGUUGAGCUCGUGCAGUCUACUGUCAUCCUCCAGAAUCCGUCUGGUUUUUGUAGGGAGCAGAUGGAGCAUUGAAAUCAUAUAGCAGCAUCAUCCAGACCUGCAGAAUCAUACGUGAUCAUAGCCAGUUCACACUGAAAAAAGCCUUGUAGGAGAUUCGCCAACCUAAUCAUUCAGCUUACAGGUGCCUGAAACAAAGAAAAGAAAUGCAGAUAAUUGGAUCUUCAUGACAUUUUCCCAACUGGCCACUUUCCCUGUAACAAGACCAAGCCUGUCUCUUCCAUUGUACUCUCGUGAGCUACCUGGGUCAGAACCUGAAAUCUUGGCGCAGAAGUCCUGUGGCCUGGUGAGUAGCUGUCUAGACCCAACUCCCUGGCUGGGUGGAUUAAACUUACUGCACCCUGAGUCUCUGGGUUUCUUGCCAGCUCCAGCCUAGCAGUGUAUGCCAAACCUCUGUUUCUCACCUGGAAAACUGCAGUGCUUGCUAAGUGGUCUUGUUUGUUAUCCUCUGAAAUCACCUUGUCUUGACUUUUCUACUUGUUUUUUAUCUGUUUCCCCCAUUAGCCUAUAAACUUCUCAUUCCCGGCAGCUGGCACAUGCAUGGCCCAAUAAAUAUUUCUUGAUUGAAUGGAAGGAGCUGUGAAUAGUGGCCUCCUCAAGCAAAGGACAUUUUAUCUCCCAAAGGGAAAUCUACUUUGUUGAUAUGAAAGUGAGCUUCUUAAUAGGUCUACGGGGCAACAUUUUGCUAACCCCAUUCAAAUUAUAACAGACUUCAAAGUCAUAAAGGCAGUAAUAUGCUUCCUUUUAAGUGUGUAAUUUGUAUUUUUUUACACCCAGGAAUGGAAAACAGGGAGUGAAAUAUCCCCCAAUUAUUAUUUUGUGCUUUUGAGGCAGGAUGGCCCACUCACCUGUGGGGACUCUGGUGGCCAAGCACCUCCCACCUCAUUCUUGGCAAUUGUUUUCAUCUGCCUCCCUUCACACUGGCCCUAGCUCAGGUCUGGAAUCUUCCCAGGGUCUGACCUCUGAGUGUCUGUCUCAUGCAAUUCUGCUGCCCUGGUAUUGACUCUCAGGACACAGAAGUAUACUCUCUGCCACAUUCAUGACCACCCUGGGUGACGUGUCAAGGCAUCUUAGUGCAGCCCUGAGUCCCUUGGAGGGAAAUGGCCCCAGUCUGCUUCCUGUUUGAGGUAGCUCUGUUCUGGAUCACUUGGUCCUCCCCUCUCCCUCCUGCCACUGCUGAUUGCAUUGUGGUGAUCACCCCAAGGUCAUCCCAAAGGCAGGCUGCCGUGUAGAGCCUGGCUUGGCACAGGAGGCCCCAGCCAAUGAUCUCUGAUGCUGACCUCAUGCUCCAGGUGCCUGAAACAAAGAAAAGAAAUGCAGAUAAUUGGAUCUUCAUGACAAUUUCCCAACUGGCCACUUUCCCUGUAACAAGACCAAGCCUGUCUCUUCCAUAUGGGUCAGCCAUAUCCCACCCACUCCUCCUGGGAUUUGACUUGGGGAAUGUGGACAGAAUCACACAGUCAGUAGAAGUUGGAAAGUAGGCGGAAGUGGCCACAUGGGGUAGGGACAUAUCAGAGUUAUGAUGAAUCAGAAGCAGAAGCCCCAAGUUGAAGAAGAGAUACAAAGCUUGGAAGCAGGAAGAGAUGGAGCGGACACACAAAGGAAUCCAACACUGGAGAACGGCAACGUAAAGGUGGCGUGCUAGGGGAAAGCUCCAGAAUUCCUGCAGCUGGGCGCUGGAGCCACCCUGAACUUUCAAAGACCUCCCUAUUCCAGUCUCCACAAUCCCAGGUCCUGGUAUGUCCCUGGAUUUGGGGGGAGAUUCUGGCUCCUUUGUAGCACCACAAUAAACC
Molecule: long non-coding RNA, 1895 nt
Filed under: Homo sapiens (human)
Lineage: Eukaryota; Metazoa; Chordata; Mammalia; Primates; Hominidae
Description: HSALNT0330943
Source: RNAcentral